UGAGUAGAGUGGCGAACGGGUGAGUAACACGUGGGUGACCUACCUUCGAGUGGGGGAUAACGUUCCGAAAGGAGCGCUAAUACCGCAUGACAUUCCGGGUUUGAAGACCUGGAAAUCAAAGCCGGGGACCGCAAGGCCUGGCGCUUGAAGAGGGGCCCGCGUCUGAUUAGCUAGUUGGCGGGGUAAUGGCCCACCAAGGCGACGAUCAGUAGCCGGCCUGAGAGGGCGGACGGCCACACUGGGACUGAGACACGGCCCAGACUCCUACGGGAGGCAGCAGUGGGGAAUUGUUCGCAAUGGGCGCAAGCCUGACGACGCAACGCCCCGUGGAGGAUGAAGGUCUUCGGAUUGUAAACCCCUGUUGACCGGGAAGAACGAGCGCCGACCUAACAGGUCGGGGCACUGACGGUACCGGUUGAGGAAGCCACGGCUAACUCUGUGCCAGCAGCCGCGGUAAUACAGAGGUGGCAAGCGUUGUUCGGAAUUACUGGGCGUAAAGGGCGCGUAGGCGGCCUUCUCAGUCAGACGUGAAAUCCCCCGGCUUAACCUGGGAACUGCGUCUGAUACUGGAAGGCUGGAGUUCGGGAGAGGGAUGUGGAAUUCCAGGUGUAGCGGUGAAAUGCGUACAUAUCUGGAGGAACACCGGUGGCGAACGCGGCAUCCUGGACCGAAACUGACGCUGAGGCGCGAGAGCCACGGGAGCAAACGGGAUUAUAUACGCCUGUAGACCUGGCCCUACACGAUGAGUGCUUGGUGCGGCGGGUAUCGAUCCCUGCCGUGCCGAAUCUAACGCAUUGAGCACUCCGCCUGGUGAGUACGGUCGCAAGGCUGAAACUCAAAUGAAUUGACGGGG
This 853-nucleotide ribosomal RNA is filed under the name uncultured Acidobacteriota bacterium. RNAcentral's name for it is "bacterial SSU rRNA". It matches the Rfam family "Bacterial small subunit ribosomal RNA", at positions 87 to 918 of the family's 1533-position model. Lineage: Bacteria; Pseudomonadati; Acidobacteriota. The record is from RNAcentral.